GAAAUGCGAUACGCAAUGCGAAUUGCAGAAUUCCGCGAGUCAUCAGAUCUUUGAACGCAAGUGGCGCUGGCGUCCAACCGCCAGCAUGCCUGUCUCAGUGUGCGAGGAAUCACACAGCACAAUGCGAUUGACGGGGGAAAGCUUGCUCUCUCCCCUCUCUCUUUAAACUCGGAAUCGCCGAGCGAUUAUGCGCGGCCCUGAACGAAGUAGUCACUUCUUCGGAAAGUGAUCUCGUUUCGGGGAUAACCGGCGGCGCUCACUACAAGGCGUAUUCGAUACAUUUUACUUACUCUCCACCACACCUGAGAUCAGACAAGAUCACCCGCUGAACUUAA
Molecule: unclassified non-coding RNA, 335 nt
Filed under: uncultured fungus
Lineage: Eukaryota; Fungi
Description: sequence contains ITS1
Rfam family: 5.8S ribosomal RNA (bases 1-103)
Source: RNAcentral